ACUCAAUAACACUUUCUGCUGGCAGAUACUCAAUGGCCAAUUAAAUUUAUUUAUCAUCCCAACCAUCUCUUGACUUGCUCAAGAGUCAAAAACAUGAUAACGUUCCACGAUCCUAGUCGAAAAAAAUUGGGGAGGAAACCCUUAUAAAAAGCAAGUGGUCCCUCGUACUUCAAUGUUCUGAAAAAGCAAUCGAAGGUGUUCCUGUAUACUGAAUCUCCCAUCAUUCUUGACUUGACCACAUCAACUGGAGAACCAAUAGAAACUGCAAAGAAUCCAGCACCUAAACCAGCUAUGAGAUGAGU
RNAcentral lists this unclassified non-coding RNA (302 nucleotides) under Hevea brasiliensis (rubber tree). Lineage: Eukaryota; Viridiplantae; Streptophyta; Magnoliopsida; Malpighiales; Euphorbiaceae. The record is from RNAcentral.